This 716-nucleotide ribosomal RNA is filed under the name Staphylococcus pasteuri. Its description in RNAcentral is "bacterial SSU rRNA". It matches the Rfam family "Bacterial small subunit ribosomal RNA", at positions 70 to 770 of the family's 1533-position model. Lineage: Bacteria; Bacillati; Bacillota; Bacilli; Caryophanales; Staphylococcaceae. The record is from RNAcentral.
GAUAAGGAGCUUGCUCCUUUGACGUUAGCGGCGGUACGGGUGAGUAACACGUGGAUAACCUACCUAUAAGACUGGGAUAACUUCGGGAAACCGGAGCUAAUACCGGAUAAGAUUUUGAACCGCAUGGUUCAAUAGUGAAAGACGGCCUUGCUGUCACUUAUAGAUGGAUCCGCGCCGUAUUAGCUAGUUGGUAAGGUAACGGCUUACCAAGGCAACGAUACGUAGCCGACCUGAGAGGGUGAUCGGCCACACUGGAACUGAGACACGGUCCAGACUCCUACGGGAGGCAGCAGUAGGGAAUCUUCCGCAAUGGGCGAAAGCCUGACGGAGCAACGCCGCGUGAGUGAUGAAGGUCUUCGGAUCGUAAAACUCUGUUAUCAGGGAAGAACAAACGUGUAAGUAACUGUGCACGUCUUGACGGUACCUGAUCAGAAAGCCACGGCUAACUACGUGCCAGCAGCCGCGGUAAUACGUAGGUGGCAAGCGUUAUCCGGAAUUAUUGGGCGUAAAGCGCGCGUAGGCGGUUUUUUAAGUCUGAUGUGAAAGCCCACGGCUCAACCGUGGAGGGUCAUUGGAAACUGGAAAACUUGAGUGCAGAAGAGGAAAGUGGAAUUCCAUGUGUAGCGGUGAAAUGCGCAGAGAUAUGGAGGAACACCAGUGGCGAAGGCGACUUUCUGGUCUGUAACUGACGCUGAUGUGCGAAAGCGUGGGGGAUC